UGGAAAUUAAUGCGUGUCUCAUCGAUUGU
RNAcentral lists this small RNA (29 nucleotides) under Bombyx mori (domestic silkworm). RNAcentral's name for it is "piRNA piR-bmo-2081345". Lineage: Eukaryota; Metazoa; Arthropoda; Insecta; Lepidoptera; Bombycidae. The record is from RNAcentral.